RNA transcript from Cydia strobilella, 1734 nucleotides. RefSeq lists it as uncharacterized. The transcript is spliced from 10 exons. Lineage: Eukaryota; Metazoa; Arthropoda; Insecta; Lepidoptera; Tortricidae. The record is from RefSeq and is a predicted model, not a curated record.
GUUUUCAAGAUAACAUGACUGGUAGAGAUACGAAUGUAAAUAGCGUCCUACGAGUUACAUGUUUUGCGCUGAUUUCGGUGUAAAAUGUUGCAAGAGAAAUGUGUGGAGCCGAAAGACGUUGAAUAUACUUAUGAUGAAGCUGUGGAAUUGACUGGCCAUGGCCGAUACAACCACCUGGUCUUGGUGGCAUGCAGUGUCAUCAGUAACGCCGUGGCACUGGACAUGUUCGCCUUCGGCUUGAUCCUGGCUACGGCCUCAUGCGACCUCCAGUUGGGCAUCUGGCAUAUUGGCCUGCUUGGUUCUAUACCAUUUGCUGGUCUUCUCUUCGCGUUCCCAUGGGGCUACUACGCCGACAUCAGCGGACGGAGACGGGCGCUGCUGCUGUCCUGCUCUGUCGGCUUCAUUAUGGCCGCCGUCGGGAGUCUGUCCCCGAACUGGCAGACGCUGCUGGUCAUGAAGCUGGUGGGCUGCAGUUUUUCCACUGCAUCAUUCAGCCUAACGAUGACGUACUUGGGCGAGUGCACGGGCAACAAACACAGGAGCCAAUACAUGUUCAUCAUGAACAGCAUCAACCUCUUCUCCGAAGCUGUCACUUUCAUGCUAGCCCUCGCCAUACUACCCCUAACCUUCAACAUCCCUAUCCCCUGGCUGGGCGUCACCUACCGACCCUGGCGACUCUUGACUCUCAUCCUGGCCAUUCCCCUUGGAGUCGGCGCGGCCAUGAUGUGGUUCCUACACGAAAGCCCCAAGUUCCUGGCCAAUAGAGGGUACAAUGAUACGGCGUUGGAGGUGCUGAGGAAAAUCUUUGAGGCCAAUGGGGGGAGGAAAGAUGAGUAUCAGGUGAAAAGUAUUUCGAAAACUAUGGAAACGCAAAAGAAAGAGCCAUUUUGGCAGUUGAUCGUACAGCAGACUGUGCCAAUCUUCAAGCCACCUCUACUGUGGAGGACCAUACAACUCUUCUAUUUGAUGAUGCUCUGCUGUGCCAUUAACAACAUAUUCGUGAUGUGGUACCCCACUAUCGUCAACUCCUUCUUCACGUCCCUCUCAUAUGGUGUGGUAGAGGAGAAAAGCUUCUGCGAUCGGUUCGUCAGUAACCUGACAGCUGAUCCUAGCGAAACUGGCGAUUGGUCCUGUAAUGACAUCAUCACCCCCAGCACCAUCUACACCGGCAUUAUGACCGGCUUCUUCUACACCGGCCUGAAUCUCUCCGUCUCUAAGCUCGCCAAGUGGCGCCGUAGCGUUUUACUCACUAUCUACUUAAUCCCUGGUAUCUGCAUGGUCUUGACCAAUGUUGUAAAAGAGCCUAUUGUCAGUUUGAUUAUGUUUGCUCUUGUCCAGGGAACGGCUAUUGGUAUUGGGGUUGUGGCGUCGUAUUUUGUGGAUCUGUAUCCGACUUCAUAUAGGGCCUUCGUGACAAGCCUUGCUUUGAUAACAGCUCGGCUGGGCUCUCUGUCCGGCAUCAACAUCAUCGGGCACGCCAUGACCACUAACUGCGAGAUCACUUUCUACUGCUGCGCGGGUUUAGUGUUCAGUGAGUUGUCCUAGGGGCUUUGUGACAAGUCUCGCUCAGAUGACAGCUCGGCUGGGCUCUCUGUCCGGCAUCAACAUCAUCAAGCACGCCAUGACCACUAACUGCAAGAUGACUUUCUACUGCUGCGCUGCUUUAGAGUUCAGUGGCGUUGCUGUAACCCUGCUUCUACCUUCAGACAAAAAAUCUAACGGAUGAGAAUAAAU